ACUCUCUUAUGGUCAGUGGGUUUACAGAUUGAUAGCAAUGUUGGCGGCGGAAUAUGGUCUAGGACCGCGCUUCCCAAACUCGCUUUUCGCGGCGCACCGGCUUGUUGCAAACUCGCUUGUAGAUGAACAAAAAAAGCGAUCCGACGAACGGCUGGUGCGCCGCGAAAACCGAGUUUGGGAAGCUAUGGUCUAAGGUCAUACUUUUUAGAUGGCAUUUGGAAUAGCUCUCAUAGUCCAGCUUGACGAUAUGUCUGUAAACAGUGCAUACACUGAAACUAAUGCUGUAGUAACUUAAACCAUACCAUUGUUGUUAACGCAACUAUUUUCAAUUAUUGUUAAUUUGAAUGAAUUUGUUUCAAUUAUAAAAACAAUGUUAUUGAAAUUACCAUGUUGCAACACCACAAUUCAGUGUAUUUUCAACUAUGUUGUUAUAGUCGGAAAUCAUUCUUUCUCAAGUUAAACUGACUACCCGUUUAGUAAUGAAUAACGGAAAGUGUUCUCGAUUUUACCAUGCCCAUGGUAGGAAUAAGAAUUAAAAUAAUGUAAUUCUCACCAGCGCUCACUUACGUUUCGAGCUCACUUUCAUUAUGACGCCAUAUUUUUGUGCACCAGUCAAGCCUGGACUUUGCUUAGUUGUGUGGUUCGCUUCAAAAUGUAUUAAUUAAAUCAAACAAUAAAGGAGAAAAGUAGCUGAAUAGAAAUAAUAAAAUAGCAGAAAUGUAAUUAUACAGAAAUAGAAGUUCUUGUUUUCAAAUGUUCAAGAUUCAGACCUGCGAAAUGUCCGGGCUGAGAAUCUAGAUUUCCUCAUACCAAAAUCCAGAGCUGCCAAGAUUCGAGUCGCGCAAUGUAUAGCAGAGAAAUACCACCCAAACCUGCUGAGUGUACUUUGACCUACGUAUCGAGCAGUGAGAACCUCCACCCGGAUUUCUUUAUAAUCGAUGCCACAGGAAAGCGGAAGAGUUUACAGAAGCUGUCAUGCAUAUCGUCCCUACUUUUGUUUUGCUUCCAAAAUUCAACGACGAAUUCUUCGAUCCAAAUAAUGAUAAGGUAUUUUUUAAGUGAAAAUUAUCGAACUAAAUAAAAAAUAAUAUCUUGCAAAUAUAUAUUGACUCUAUUCAAGGUAUGCGCAUUUGCAUUUAGAUUGGAAUACCGAUAAAUCUAAAUGCAUUAUGCGUGGACCUUGAUGAAUUAAUAAUAUCCAAUAAUACAAGCAGCUCGGCAUUCUUUAUUUUAAAUGCAAUUAAUGCAUUAGCGUAACUUCAACUUAAAUCUAGAGGGGGCUUGACUCACACGAUAAACAAAAUCUCUUUAGCAAGGUGCAUACUUA
Long non-coding RNA from Aedes aegypti (yellow fever mosquito), 1327 nucleotides. RefSeq lists it as uncharacterized. The transcript is spliced from 3 exons. The record is from RefSeq and is a predicted model, not a curated record. NCBI's taxonomy places the organism in Eukaryota, Metazoa, Arthropoda, Insecta, Diptera, Culicidae.